AACGAACGCUGGCGGCGCGCCUAAUACAUGCAAGUCGAGCGAGAAGACGUAGCAAUACGUUUGUAAAGCGGCGAACGGGUGAGGAAUACAUGGGUAACCUACCCUCGAGUGGGGAAUAACUAGCCGGAAAGGUUAGACUAAUACCGCGUACGCUCCUUGGACUUCGGUUCAGGGAGGAAAGCGAUACCGUGGGUAUCGCGCUCUUGGAUGGGCUCAUGUCCUAUCAGCUUGUUGGUGAGGAACGGCUCACCAAGGCUUCGACGGGUAGCUGGUCUGAGAGGACGGAUCAGCCACACUGGCACUG
Molecule: ribosomal RNA, 304 nt
Filed under: uncultured bacterium
Lineage: Bacteria
Description: bacterial SSU rRNA
Rfam family: Bacterial small subunit ribosomal RNA
Source: RNAcentral